Molecule: ribosomal RNA, 381 nt
Filed under: uncultured archaeon
Lineage: Archaea
Description: bacterial SSU rRNA
Rfam family: Archaeal small subunit ribosomal RNA
Source: RNAcentral
ACACCGGCGGCCCGAGUGGUGAUCGUGAUUAUUGGGUCUAAAGGGUCCGUAGCCGGUUUGGUCAGUCCUCCGGGAAAUCUGAUAGCUCAACUAUUAGGCUUUCGGGGGAUACUGCCAGACUUGGAACCGGGAGAGGUAAGAGGUACUACAGGGGUAGGAGUGAAAUCUUGUAAUCCCUGUGGGACCACCUGUGGCGAAGGCGUCUUACCAGAACGGGUUCGACGGUGAGGGACGAAAGCUGGGGGCACGAACCGGAUUAGAUACCCGGGUAGUCCCAGCCGUAAACGAUGCUCGCUAGGUGUCAGGCAUGGCGCGACCGUGUCUGGUGCCGCAGGGAAGCCGUGAGGCGAGCCACCUGGGAAGUACGGCCGCAAGGCUGAA